CCUACGGGUGGCAGCAGUGGGGAAUAUUGGGCAAUGGGCGCAAGCCUGACCCAGCAACGCCGCGUGAAGGAAGAAGGCUUUCGGGUUGUAAACUUCUUUUGUCAGGGAAGAGUAGAAGACGGUACCUGACGAAUAAGCCACGGCUAACUACGUGCCAGCAGCCGCGGUAAUACGUAGGUGGCAAGCGUUGUCCGGAUUUACUGGGUGUAAAGGGCGUGUAGCCGGGUUGACAAGUCAGAUGUGAAAUCCUGCGGCUUAACCGCAGAACUGCAUUUGAAACUGUUGAUCUUGAGUACUGGAGAGGCAGAUGGAAUUCCUAGGGGAGAGGGGAAAUGCGUAGAUAUUAGGAGGGACACCAGGGGGGAAGGCGGUCUGGUGGACAGCAACUGACGGUGAGGCGCGAAAGCGUGGGGAGCAAACAGGAUUAGAUACCCGAGUAGUC
Molecule: ribosomal RNA, 442 nt
Filed under: uncultured bacterium
Lineage: Bacteria
Description: partial 16S ribosomal RNA
Rfam family: Bacterial small subunit ribosomal RNA
Source: RNAcentral